AUGACGUCUCUGGAUCAGAAUCUUCAAAUACCAUCUUCAGGAAAUCAAUCUAGAGAGGGGAAAAGCAUGCCAAAUGGCAGUCACACAGCCCUCUUCCUCCACUUGAACGUGCACCGUCCACGAUGCCUCUUGCACUCACCCUGGGUGGAAACACAAGCCUCACCACCUCCCCAACUUCCCUCUCCGAACACUCAGCUGGAGCGAGGAGCCCUGCAGGUUGUAGAAACCACGUGUCACCGGGAUUUUAGGACAGAGGGAAAGGCAGGGGAGACAGUCCUCCGAGGGGGUGGAAAUGAGGUGAGACACUGCUGUCAUGCCUCCACUGUGCAGCCCAAUGCAGCCUGUCAGCUGGGCGCCCGGGCGUCCGGUUGCUUCUGUCUGGGUCCUAGGCGCAGAAUCCAAGGAGUGUCAGGAGCGACUGAGCAGCGGCGGCAGUGUGUGAUGCUCACAGCCCCAGGGCCGUCACUCAGGCCCUCACACCUCUUCCUAGCAAGGAGCACGAGAUUUCCAGGACUGGUCGACCUGUGCCUGCUUCUUCCCUGCCUGGGCUCCCCUGUGGUUUCUGACCAGUGCCUGGGCAGACUAUUCCAGGACGCAGGUGAAAAGGUGGAUUCUGAGCUCUCACCCAAGGACAUCAUGAUUCCUUGGUUGGAGGAAGGCUCAAGAACCUAGUUCCUGGGGCCAGCACUGUGGUGCAGCAGGUUAAGCCACUGCCAACAGUGCCGGCAUCCCAUAUGGGCACCAGUUAGGGUCCCAGCAGUUCCACGUCUGAUCAGGCUCCCUGCUGAUGGCCUGGGAAAGCAGCGGAAGUUGGCCCAAGUGCUUGGGCUCCUGCACCCACGCAGGAGACCCAGAGGAAACUCCUGGCCCCUGGCUUUGGGCUGGCUCAGCCCUGGCUGAUGAGGCCAUAUGGGGAGUGAACCAGCAGAUGGAAGAUCUUUCUCUCUCUCAGUCUCUGUCUCUCCCUCUCUGUAACUCUGCCUUUAAAAUAAAAUAAAUAAACCUUUUUUUAAAAGAAGAACU
Molecule: long non-coding RNA, 1023 nt
Filed under: Oryctolagus cuniculus (rabbit)
Lineage: Eukaryota; Metazoa; Chordata; Mammalia; Lagomorpha; Leporidae
Description: lncRNA (ENSOCUG00000036893.1)
Source: RNAcentral